AGCAUAUCAAUAAGCGGAGGAAAAGAAACCAACAGGGAUUGCCCCAGUAACGGCGAGUGAAGCGGCAACAGCUCAAAUUUGAAAUCUGGCCCCAGGCCCGAGUUGUAAUUUGCAGAGGAUGCUUUUGGCGCGGUGCCUUCCGAGUUCCCUGGAACGGGACGCCAUAGAGGGUGAGAGCCCCGUACGGUUGGACACCAAGUCUUUGUAAAGCUCCUUCGACGAGUCGAGUAGUUUGGGAAUGCUGCUCAAAAUGGGAGGUAUAUUUCUUCUAAAGCUAAAUAUUGGCCAGAGACCGAUAGCGCACAAGUAGAGUGAUCGAAAGAUGAAAAGCACUUUGAAAAGAGGGUUAAACAGCACGUGAAAUUGUUAAAAGGGAAGCGCUUAUGACCAGACUUGCGCCCGGUGAAUCACCCAGCUCUCGCGGCUGGGGCACUUUGCCGGCUCAGGCCAGCAUCAGCUCGCUGUCGGGGACAAAAGCUUCGGGAACGUAGCUCUCUUCGGGGAGUGUUAUAGCCCGUUGCACAAUACCCUUCGGCGGGCUGAGGUACGCGCUCCGCAAGGAUGCUGGCGUAAUGGUCAUCAGCGACCCGUCUUGAAACACGGACCAAGGAGUCAACCUUAUGUGCGAGUGUUUGGGUGUCAAACCCCUACGCGUAAUGAAAGUGAACGCAGGUGAGAGCUUCGGCGCAUCAUCGACCGAUCCUGAUGUUCUCGGAUGGAUUUGAGUAAGAGCAUAUAGGGUUGGACCCGAAAGAAGGUGAACUAUGCGUGUAUAGGGUGAAGCCAGAGGAAACUCUGGUGGAGGCUCGCAGCGGUUCUGACGUGCAAAUCGAUCGUCAAAUAUGCGCAUGGGGGCGAAAGACUAAUCGAACCUUCUAGUAGCUGGUUUCCGCG
RNAcentral lists this ribosomal RNA (894 nucleotides) under Colletotrichum boninense. Its description in RNAcentral is "LSU rRNA". It matches the Rfam family "Eukaryotic large subunit ribosomal RNA", at positions 37 to 962 of the family's 3401-position model. Lineage: Eukaryota; Fungi; Ascomycota; Sordariomycetes; Glomerellales; Glomerellaceae. The record is from RNAcentral.